ACCGAGUUUACAACUCCCAAACCCCUGUGAACAUACCUUACUGUUGCCUCGGCGGAUCAGCCCGCUCCCGGUAAAACGGGACGGCCCGCCAGAGGACCCCUAAACUCUGUUUCUAUAUGUAACUUCUGAGUAAAACCAUAAAUAAAUCAAAACUUUCAACAACGGAUCUCUUGGUUCUGGCAUCGAUGAAGAACGCAGCAAAAUGCGAUAAGUAAUGUGAAUUGCAGAAUUCAGUGAAUCAUCGAAUCUUUGAACGCACAUUGCGCCCGCCAGUAUUCUGGCGGGCAUGCCUGUUCGAGCGUCAUUUCAACCCUCAAGCCCUCGGGUUUGGUGUUGGGGAUCGGCGAGCCUUUCUGGCAAGCCGGCCCCGAAAUCUAGUGGCGGUCUCGCUGCAGCCUCCAUUGCGUAGUAGUAAAACCCUCGCAACUGGAACGCGGCGCGGCCAAGCCGUUAAACCCCCAACUUCUGAAUGUUGACCUCGGAUCAGGUAGGAAUACCCGCUGAACUUAA
This 510-nucleotide ribosomal RNA is filed under the name uncultured fungus. RNAcentral's name for it is "eukaryotic LSU rRNA". The stretch from base 151 to 304 matches the Rfam family "5.8S ribosomal RNA". Lineage: Eukaryota; Fungi. The record is from RNAcentral.